GGCUCGGGAGCGGCUCGUGCCGCGCGGCGCUCGCGUGCAGCAGGUCCCGGGCGGGAAGGGAGCGCGAGCGCUGCCGGCCCUGAGGGCUCGCAGCGGGCCUUGGCUGAGGGGGCCUCUGGAAAACAAUAUGGGACCGUGUAAUUAAAGACGCUCAUAAUGAGGGAUGCUCAACAGAGGAAGAAAAGUUCGGUCCAUGCUCUCCAGACACCUCAUUACCUCCCCAAGGUCCUAACGGGGCAAUAGUGAAGGUGCCUUGAUGUUCGUAUGGCCAACGGGAAGAAACAAGGUUGUUUCUUUCCCUCCCUUAUGUAUUCCCUUGUGAUGGAAGAUGACCUUUUAAUGUUUUCCCCCUCUGUAAGAGUUUGUUCCGUCUCUUUGUUAAUUAAAUGAAAAUGCUACAUAAAUAAAGAGCAGCUUUGCUUUGCAAA
Molecule: non-coding RNA, 428 nt
Organism: Taeniopygia guttata (zebra finch)
Lineage: Eukaryota; Metazoa; Chordata; Aves; Passeriformes; Estrildidae
Source: RefSeq, a predicted model, not a curated record